This is a long non-coding RNA of Centruroides sculpturatus (bark scorpion), 282 nucleotides long. RefSeq lists it as uncharacterized. Lineage: Eukaryota; Metazoa; Arthropoda; Arachnida; Scorpiones; Buthidae. The transcript has 3 exons. The record is from RefSeq and is a predicted model, not a curated record.
UAUUUUGAAGACAUUGCUGGCUGAAUUAAUAGAAAAAUGUAUUGAAGGAAAGAGUCAUCCAAAGUUGUUAUUGAGGAGGACUGAAUCUGUUGCUGAAAAAAUGUUAUCUUCAUGGUUUACUUUCCUUUUGUACAAGUUUUUAAAGGAAUGUGCAGGUGAUCCAUUGUUUAUGUUAUAUAGAGCAAUCAAACAACAAGUAGAUAAAGGACCAGUUGAUUCUAUUACCAGUGAAGCACGUUAUUCAUUAUCAGAAGAAAAAUUAAUUAGACAAUCAAUUGAAUA